UGAGGUCACGGAGGGGUCAUCCCUUGUGCUCAGCUGGCUGCCGGAGCCAGAACCUAGUCUCCUGGCAUCUAUUGCAAAGCUCACCCCUCAUCCCCCAACCCCCUAAAGGGAGAAAGGGUCACUGCUCUGAAAAGAGGGAGGAACUAAGCAGUGCUCUCCUCAGCAAGCCAGGGAAGGUGAUCCUGACUAAAAGCCAGAAGAGGGGCAGAGUUUGGUCUGCCAGGCUUCAGGGAGAGAAUUCCAUACCGCGAGAAAAACUUUGAUUAUAGAGCGGGCUCGAGAUGAAGGGGAGGAGCUGGCUGAGCAGCAGCUGGAGGCUUCAGACGGAAGCCCUGGGUCUCCCUCUCGGGACUCAGUGGGCAUGGACUUGGGGAACAGCUUUAGGACCGACAAACCUUGAGCGAUGAGGUUUCGGGGAGCCCGGGCCCUAUGCCCCUGCCUCUUUGACCACUCGUCCCUGAGCCUCAGUUUCCUCACUGGCAAAACAGAGGUGGUAACACCCCCUGUAGCCUGGCUCAAGGCCAAGUCUUCACAAAUGUUACUGCCUCUCUUCUGUGCCCAACCACCCUCCACCGACCCUUACUGGGUUCAGGCUUCAUAGGGAUGCAGUCUGAUCAUCCAGCUCUCCCACUCAUUCAUUCCUGCAGGGAGCAUCACCAGGCCCUGUGCCCAGCCCAGAACCUGAUAAGACCAUGUCCUCCGUGAGGAGCUCCUGCAGCAGGGGGGAGGGCAUCGAGGCAGUCCUGCAGGCGCAUGAUUACCGUGCUGUGUCAUUGGGGCUUUGUGGAGUUAGGGAGAGACCUCAUUCGUGAGGCCGUAUGUCAGCACCUCAACAUGAAUUCCCUUAAUUAUUUUUUACAAGCCCCGAAAUGACAAGAUCCUAAAAGGGAGAGGACCACCUCCACGGUGCUCUUUCCUGAGAGGCCAGAACCCUGGCUUUGCAUCCCUGCUUGGCCACCAGCUCGCCUAGGACCGUCCAUGGGUUUUUCCCUCUUGGAAAGAAAUCACUGCCUCUUCGGCCUCCUCCUCGUGAGGAACUGGUGCGGGGAUGUUUGAGAGUGAGUGCCCUGUCACAUACGGGGUAAGCACGAACCUUCCCCACAGACUAACCCUUUGAGCGGUUCUGGCCUCUCACCUCUUUUCCUGGACAACUUGUGGAGAGUCUACAGGGGGACGCCUCACCACCUUUUCUUAAGCUAAAUUCUGCCAAUCCCUGCCCCACACUGCUAGUGGCCGCCCUCUAGGGCAGGGCGGGGAGCUGGGGCCCUGGGCCUGAUCCCCACCCCCUUGCCAUGUGACCUUGCUCUCCUCUGCUCAUUCUUCUCCAGGCACCGCCCCCCCCCCCCCCCGACACCCACCCCGUUUCCCCAUCUGUUCACCUAGGAGGGGCUGGCCCAGGAAGUCUUUAACGUUUCCAAAGCCAUCUUCUGUGAAGUAUCAGUGAACUUUAUCCUUGUUACUUCAGUCUUAAAGGUAUUGGUUGAAAGAAAGUAUGUUAAAACAAGCAUUUAAUCAAAGGAUUUUUUUCAUUAAAGAAUAAACUUUACAUCUCUGGGGUGCAGAAGUGUCAAGAAUCUUGGAGUCAAAGCAGACUUGGGAGGGUCUCUGAGGGACGAAGACAAACAUGGCCCUUCCUUGGUUCCCUGUUGCUUGUGGUCCUGACUCAGCUUGGCUGUCAAAGCCCUGCGCCACCCUUGAGGGUGGGGGCUUGAUCUUUGUCCCUUCACCAGGCACAGUACCUGGUGCUGCCCUUGACCAGGCCUGGCAUAGAACCUGCUGGUUGGCUGGCCAGGGACGUGGAUGGGUGGAAGGCUCAGUCAGUCAAUCUCUAGACUCUCUAAGGAGUUAAGUGGCCCUCACUCUCCCAGAAGUGAGGGAAUUCAGUUUGCCUCCCAAGUCUCCUCUUGGCAACUCUGAAGUGGCAGUAUUUUCCAGCCUCUAGGCUCGUAUUUUACACACACAUAUCACAGACACUAAUGUGUCACAAGAGAUACGUGAGAAGAACCUUGUAAAAGGCUCUAUAGCCUGGUAUCCUUCCUGUGGCAACAGGUGGCUGUGAAUCACCUCCCCUCCCUGGGCCUCAGUUUCCCCAUGUGUAAAAUGAAGCACUUGGACUAGAUAAUCCUUGAGUUCCUUUCUAGCUCUAGCAUCACCCUCAGAUGCCCUGGUACCCAGAACAGUAAUUGGACAAGGGACAUGGUGACCCCAGGAUCUGGGUCAGUCCACAUCUUGGAGCAUGGCGGAAUCGUGGUGAUGGCUGCAGCCCCCUGGAAACUGAACAUGGCAGGAACUGGCUGAGAAAUUUUUUUGCUGAUGGUGAAAUGUCCUGGCAGAGUCUAUGCAGCUGGAAUGUAUGUUUAUGAUUGAAAUGAGAUAUGAUCUAACCUUUCUGCAAACAUACAGCUGAUUAUUGCAACAUGACGGACUGUCUAGUUCCUUCUCUCUCCACUGAUCUGAAGUGAAACUCCCUCAUAUACUGAAUUGCCACGUCUAGGUGCUGUUGGGUGAAAACAUGAUACUUGGAACUCUGACAGCCAUCUUGUGCCCAGGAGGGGAAGGCCAGGAGAUGCAACUCUGUGCUGACUCAGUUCGGACACCUGGCACCACUGACUUCUGGACUUUCUUUGAAAUAAAUAAAAUGGUCUUGCUGUUUAAGCCACUCUCGGGUUUUUUGUUA
This is a long non-coding RNA of Kogia breviceps (pygmy sperm whale), 2677 nucleotides long. RefSeq lists it as uncharacterized. The record is from RefSeq and is a predicted model, not a curated record. Lineage: Eukaryota; Metazoa; Chordata; Mammalia; Artiodactyla; Physeteridae.